UCCCUCUUAGCUCAGUUGGUAGAGCGCGUCACUAGUAUCACCCGGAAGGCUAUCUUAUGACGAGGUCAGUCGUUCAAAUCGGCUAGCGGGAA
This is a non-coding RNA of Mycena vitilis, 92 nucleotides long. The record is from the annotation of a GenBank genome assembly. NCBI's taxonomy places the organism in Eukaryota, Fungi, Basidiomycota, Agaricomycetes, Agaricales, Mycenaceae.